GACAGAGGUGCCGAGCGUUUAGGCGGAAUCACUGGGCUUAAAGCGUGUGUAGGCGGACCGUUAAGUACCUUGUGAAAUCCCCCCGGCUCAACCGGGGGAACGGCUGGGUAUACUGGCGGUCUUGAGCCAUCCAGGGGCAGUCGGAACAGACGGUGGAGCGGUGAAAUGCGUAGAUAUCGUCUGGAACGCCGAAGGUGAAAACAGACUGCUGGGGAUGCGCUGACGCUGAGACACGAAAGCCAGGGGGAGCGAACGGG
This 257-nucleotide ribosomal RNA is filed under the name uncultured bacterium. Its description in RNAcentral is "partial 16S ribosomal RNA". It matches the Rfam family "Bacterial small subunit ribosomal RNA", at positions 524 to 776 of the family's 1533-position model. The record is from RNAcentral.